GCUUAACCUCCGGGAGGGCGCUUACCACUUUGUGAUUCAUGACUGGGGUGAAGUCGUAACAAGGUAACCGUAGGGGAACCUGCGGUUGGAUCACCUCCUUA
RNAcentral lists this ribosomal RNA (101 nucleotides) under Morganella morganii subsp. morganii. RNAcentral's name for it is "partial 16S ribosomal RNA". It matches the Rfam family "Bacterial small subunit ribosomal RNA", at positions 1433 to 1533 of the family's 1533-position model. The record is from RNAcentral. Lineage: Bacteria; Pseudomonadati; Pseudomonadota; Gammaproteobacteria; Enterobacterales; Morganellaceae.